AAAACGGAUCCUUUAGGAUCCCUCUUAGAAUCCCUAAAAGGAAUAAG
This is a non-coding RNA of Melipona quadrifasciata, 47 nucleotides long. NCBI's taxonomy places the organism in Eukaryota, Metazoa, Arthropoda, Insecta, Hymenoptera, Apidae. The record is from Rfam.